RNAcentral lists this ribosomal RNA (247 nucleotides) under uncultured bacterium. Its description in RNAcentral is "partial 16S ribosomal RNA". It matches the Rfam family "Bacterial small subunit ribosomal RNA", at positions 523 to 769 of the family's 1533-position model. The record is from RNAcentral.
AUACGGGGGAUGCGAGCGUUAUCCGGAUUCAUUGGGUUUAAAGGGUGCGUAGGCGGCUUUGCAAGUCAGCGGUGAAAGGCCCGGGCUCAACCCGGAAAGUGCCGUUGAUACUGUGAGGCUGGAAUGCGGAUGCUGUGGGAGGAAUGAGUGGUGUAGCGGUGAAAUGCAUAGAUAUCACUCAGAACACCGAUUGCGAAGGCAUCUCACAAAUCCGCAAUUGACGCUGAGGCACGAAAGCGUGGGGAUC